CGUAAGGAGCGCCCUCUCGCGAUGGCCACGUAGACACUGGACCCCGCGAGGACCGACCCAUCUCUCUCGUCCUCACCCCGCACCCCGUUCCCUAAAUUCUUCUCCUCUCCCUCGUUUGCCGCCGCCACCCCCACAGCCGUCACCGCCGCCGCCACCAGCGACUUCCCUCACAGCCUGCGCCCCACCCCUUCUCUCCUCUCGACCACCAGGCGACCUCCUUGCCUCCCCUUCCGCCCAGAUCGAGAAGCAGAUCGGGAUCCACGGCCACGGCGGCAUGAGCGCCCCGAUUUAGGUUUAAGCCGCGUGACGAGGGUGCUCUCUGCAGCGCUAACCCAAGUGCCGACGUCACGGACAAGGUUCGUGAAGCAUCUUUGCCCGUGGAAACCGAGACCGUCUGGUUUUCUUCAUCUCCCUAUGUGAUGGGUGCCAUCAGCUUUUGUGCAUGUUUCAUGGAGAGGAGAAGCCGCUCCAAUUCCAUCUCCUGAAGGAGGAUGCCCACCAUCCAAGGUGCUCAACAUCACAUCCAUCUAUUGCCUGCCAAGAGCGAAGAUGUCUAUCUGAUAGGCAAAGCAGACAUAUCAAAGCUUCUUGUACGUAUUCGGGAGGAUGCCUGUUGUGACGAUGAUCAGACUGGUAGCGCACGUUUACGGACACCAGUGGGCAGAACAGCAGAAGUCACAACAUUGGACGCAAACGCAAUCGGCAACGGCGACCAGACAUGCAGUGACCCGACGAUUGGCGACGUCUGCAGUACUGGGCGAGUGACGAAUGACUGACAGUGACGAUUCAAUUGAUCUGGUGGAUUCAGGGAUAGUUGGCUAUCGGCGUCCAUGACACCCGCGGCACGUCCCCCGCCAUCGACCAAAUCGACAACUACGACGGCUUCAUGAUCUUGCUCACAUGAUGUGUGGAUGCGCCCCUAGAACUUGGUGGCAUCGUGACGUCCUCCAUAGUCCACUCCACACCACAGGCACCCGUCUGCCCGUUGGCCUGAAAUCCCACUUCUGAUCUUCUCUGAAACCAAAGGACGGACUGUUGAAGAAGCCCAAAGGCAGCACUGCCGGACCUAGGGGAAGGCGUUGCGGCUGGGUCGUCUAACAUGGAGUGGGGCAACGUUCUUGUAGCUGCCACCUCAUCUUCUAUGGAGCCUGCAUGAUUUUAAUUGGAGGGAAGAUGGGUGUUUUCAUCUGUGGCGUAGUAUAUACCUGGCGUUCAUCUUCAGGGCAUAGCGUGGCUGGUUCUGGUGCCAGCGAGUUGACGCUCAAACGCCGUCCAGUUAUUAGAUAACGAGGAGUUACGGCCGGGGAUCGCGGCACGUCCUUGCCUGUCUCGCUCAAGGACUGCAGAGAUGGAGAGUCUAUGUCAGGCUCCUCCUCCUUGUAUGGUAGGUGGUGCGGUGGUGGUCGCACAGCUAAGAUAUCCAUGGAGGGCAAGAUCUCCGUUGGGUGAACGCUUGAGCAUGUAUUGGAGGGAGAUGGGACUCCACCGUUCAUCCAUUUUACAGCGGAUUGAUAUUUAUUUAUGAGUAUGACCCAUGUACAGCUCAGUUACAGAAGAUGAAGAUGAAGGGAUGCGUAUGGAGGAGAAAUUAAAUCACAGUAUCACAUUCACGGCAGGAAAACAGAAUGCAGGACCGUGAUAGCUUAUAUGGCAAUGAUGCUGAUGCAGGACCAUGAAAGCUGAUGCGGCAUGAUGGUGAUGUGGAUAAUGUGCAUGUUAAGAGAAUUGUUAGUAGUGGGGAUCAACUUCUUAAGAUUGUAGGAUGAUGGAAUCGGGAAGUACUUGUGCAUUAAAUGAAGUGCUAAUCAUUUUUAGUUAGAUGGCUAUUGUGUUCUUUGUUUACCCAUUGUUGAUUAUACUUACAGGGCCUAGAUCAAUGUAAAGCUGUGGGAUGCGCAGCAGAAGGAUUUGAAUGCUGGAAAUAAGAGGGUGAGAUGGAUAGAUAGAGAACCUUAUGCUUACUGGAAAGGGAAUCCAGAGAUCGCAACUAUAAGGCAAGAGCUUAUCAAGUGUGAUGUUUCCAGUAAACAAGAAUGAAAUACACGGAUCUACAAACAGGAUUGGAUCAAAGAGAGCAAGGCAGGAUACAAGAAAUCAUAUUUGGCCAGUCUAUGCACCCAUAGGUACAAGAUCUACAUUGAAGGAUCAACAUGGCCAGUUAGUGAGAAGUAUAUCAUAGCUUGUGAUUAAACCAAAAUACUGCGAUUUCUUUUCAAGGGUGUUGAUGCCCACUCAGCAUUAUUGGCCAGUUCGAGAUGAUAGGUUAUAGCAUGUUCAGUUCAUCAUUGAGAUAUCCCCUCUGGUUACCUUUUUUCAUUGUGCUAUGUGCAUCUAGCUGGUGGCCACCAGCUAAAAAGGCACUCUUGGUUCUGUAUAUAAUAUCACCGUUCACUGAUACUACUAAUACUGGAGGCACAUGAGUUUGGAACACUCCUGUAGAAUGCCAUCACGGCAGCUUGCCUAUCGGGAGUUUCGUGCGUCAUAGGCAAUCUUCCUGUCCUUGUUCCCCACUGUCUCUAACGGAAUUCUCCCUCUAGAUCUCAAUUCUUUGAGCACAUGGAGAUGUCUUGAUUAUCAAUGCUUUAGUCUAUGCCACUGUUGUUUUUAACAUACUGACUGGCCGUAUCCUACUAUGACUUCAGUUGACACAUUGUGACCAUCCUCCAUAAGUAUUUUGUAGACCCAGGCUUAAAUAUAAAAUGUCCUACUCUAUAACAAUGUUGCUCGUCUACUCUAGGAUCACGCUAAUUGCUAAGUAGUUGAUGAAUAGAUAAAUUAUAUAUCUAAUAUGUCAUCUGCUGCUUGAUAUUUGUUGUUGAACUAAUUAGUACUGAUGUGCCUUCAAGUUCUGAUGCAAUUUAGAACAUCUCUCUUUAAGCAAAAGUCUUGUUGACGCAAAUUUUUUUUGUAGCUCUGAAUUUAGUAAUCAUUUGCCCUCAGCAGCGUGUUGAUGAUUUGGCAAGAUGUCUAGCUAUCUAACAUAUAGUAUUACUUUUCCUCUUUACAAACUCAAAGUUGUUGGUCUUGUUGUCUUACUGACUAGAAGCAAUAAUACACAUUUGCCUGGUGAUGUGACUUGGUAUUCUGAUAGACGGGGUCGCGUGUAAUAGAAUUGAUGCAUAUAGUUUGAAUGCACUGACCUAUUCUGCUGCUUUCCCAUUUUUUGUGCGUAUGAUAUUGUAGCACUAGCAUGUUUCAUUUGGAUCAGUGAGAUACACAUUCUCUCUUUCCAUCUUUAAUAUGUAAUUCGGUGUGUUACUUUGCCUUUUCUAUUGCCAAUACAAAAGUAUUAGAACUUAAUUUAUUUGCCUUACAUAAGAUGGCAUUGUCUUUUUGAGUGCUGGGAUUCAAAUAUGGUUACUCCCUCCUUCCAUCUAUAUAGGGCCUAAUGUGUUUUUGAGGGUAACUUUGACCAAAUGUUAGAGCAAUAAUAUAUGACAUGCAAGUUACAUAAAGCAUAUCGUCAAAUUCGUACGAGAAAGGAGCUUUCAAUGAUAUAAUUUUCAUGUUGUACAUCUCAUGAAUUAUUAGUUCUAUCAAUAGUCAAAGGCGGUCUUGAAAAACGCAUUAGGCCCUAUAUAGAUGGACGGAGGGAGUAGUAUUGUGUUUUCAUGGUCAUUCAAGUUGGGUGCUGAGUGGACACUAUGGUAAGCUUAAUUAAAUAACUAUGAGUACUAUGUAAAUUGUAGUUCAACAAUUACUUAGUCACUACUAUGUAAAUUGUGGUUCAACGGAUACUCCAUUUGUAAAUGCGUCAAAACUUCCCUUCGAAAUUCGUAUCCUCAAGUUUCAAAGCAUUUGAUUUGUGAAGCAUAGGUCGAUUGCCAUAUGACUGAGAAAAACAUGAUCCAUUUUUGUACAAAGCUAUAUGCAUAGUAGUCAUAUGAGACGAUAAUAAAUACGGCAGCAUGAUUAGUGCGCACAGUCUCGCCUCAAGAGACGCGCCUGGGGCGCGUCCCAACCACUAGUAUUUUUCAAAAAUUGUUUGGCCUGGGGCACAUCCCACUUCCAAGCCUAGGAAGCCCAGGCCAGCUAUCCCAGCUGCCCGACGCCUUGUUGCGUGCUUCCUGCCUGCACAAACAGAAGCACGGGUGAACCAACCAGCUGCCUCUGCUUUCCCCGAUUUGGACGAACCCUAGGCCACCAGAAACAGCCGUCCCUGGCUCCAGCGCCGCCUGCCGCCGCCACCUGCCGGCCACCUUGUUCCAGUCUGUUGCCCGCCCCUUCCCUUCGAGUUGCACCACUGCGGGCUGCUGCUUUAUCCCGUCGUCAGGUUGCGUAGCGGCGGGUUGCUGCUCUGUUUGGUGAGGCGCGGAGGUGGCGACUCAGGCGAGGCUUGGCGUCCCGCGAGGUGCUCGAUCCUUUCUGUUUGGCGUCCGGUGAGGUGGUUAUUUGCCAGGAGCCGAACCGCAGCACAGAGGAGUGAACCAUCAACUAACUUCACAUGAGAUACAAUUGGAUUUUUGGAAGGCUUGUGCACAAGAGACCACCGAAGUCAUUAUUGAGGAGACUAGAAAUAGGAAAUUUGCUUUACUUGUUGAUGAGUCCAGAGAUGCAUCUAUGAAGGAGCAAAUGGCUAUGUGCUUGAGGUAACUCGACAAAUGAGGGGAGGUGAUUGAAAGAUUCAUGUCAGUUGAGCAUGUUCCCGACAUAAGAUCAAAUUCACUGAAGGUAGGUUUGGAUGGUAUGUUUGCUAUUCUUGGUUUAUCUAUGUCUAAUUUGAGAGGACAAAGUUAUGAUGGGGCUUCAAACAUGAGAGGGGAAUUCUGUCGGUCGCAAAGAUUGAUCUUGGAAGAAAAUCCUUAUGCUCAUUAUAUACGUUGUUUUGCCCAUGAGUUACAAUUAGUGGUUGUUGCUGUUGCCAAGUGUUGUUCAUCAGUAAGGGAUUUUUUUGAAUACACAAGCAUGGUGGUUAACAUUGUUAAUGCUUCUUGUAAACGACAUGAUCAAUUGGCCCAAGAGCAACAUGAUGAAAUAGUGUGUCAAAUAGAGGCUGGGGAACUUCUUGUGGGAAAAGGGAAAAACCAAUUAACUAACCUUGCAAGACCCGAUGAUACACAGUGGGGAUCACAUCAUAAAACCUUGUGCCAUCUUGUUGAGAUGUGGAAACCAGUUUUAAAGGUAUUAGAAAAUCUACAUAAUGAUGCAGAUAAUGUUGCACAAAGAACCACAACCGCGGGAUUGAUAAAGCACAUGGAGUCCUUUGAAUUUGUUCUCAUAUUGCAUCUUAUGAUCACAUUAUUGGGAAGGCUAACAAUCUGUCACAAUGCUUGCAACUGAAAAAUCAGAAUAUUGCACGUGCUGCGGGAUUGAUUAAAACCACAUUGGAUGAUAUUCAAAAGAUAAGGCAUAAUGGUUGGGGUGAGAUCUUUAAAGAGGUAACUGACUUUUUGUGUCAAAUACAACAUUGUAGUGCCAAAUAUGGAAGAUACAAGAACUGCUAAUGGGCGUUCAAGGAGUUGGGGUGGGCAAUUGGUAACUUACAACCAUCAUUUCAGAAAUGAAAUAUUCAAUGUGUUGCAUGAUCAACUUAUUGUAGAGUUAAACAACCACUUUGCCGAAAGGUCUACUCAAUUGUUGAGAUGCAUUGCUUGUCUUGAUCCCAAGAAUUCAUUUGCCAACUAUAAUGAAGACAAGCUAGUAGAUCUUGCUAAUAUGUAUGCUGCUGACUUCUCUACAUAUGAAGUUGCUUUUGUCCUUAGAAACCAACUAGACUCAUUCAUUUAGGAAGCAAGAGCUGAUCCACAUUUGAUGAAUUGCAAUGACCUUGGUCAUCUUGCCAUAAAUAUGGUUACAACUGAUAUGCACACAACUUUUCCCUUGGUUUACCGUCUUGUUGAGUUAGCAUUGAUUUUACCUGUUGCAACCGCAACAGUGGAAAGGGCAUUCUCAGCAAUGGGCAUUAUCAAGACUGGAUUGAGGAACAAAAUGGGUGAUGAUUGGAUGAGUCAUAGAAUUUUACAUUGAGCGAGAUGUACUUGUGAAUAUUGAAGAAUCAAAGAUCGUUGAGCGAUUUCAAGGUUGUCGCAAUCGUAAAUGCCUUUUGCAUCGUCCUAGAUGUAAGUUUUCAAAUUUUGUAGCUAUUAUUAACUAUUUUUGCUUGCUAUAUUAUGCACUAAUUUGCAUUUCAAAAAUUACCAUUCAAGGUUUAGCUUCUUUAGCUAUUGAAGAUGUAGUCAUGGGAGUCUCAGAUCAACAAAACCUUUGAUUUGGUAUUAAUCUUUUGUAUCAUCUAUAUAUGCUACAUUUUGUCUUUUGAUUUAUCUUGCUUUAGUUGACCCAUCAUGGAACAAAUGAUGUCACUGAAUAUUAUGUUUGGUGUACUAUUAGUUAUGCAACAUAGGUUGACUUUCCUAUGCCCUGAAAUUGGAGAUUUUUAGGGUAGUUUUUAGCCCUUAGUUUCUCGACUGGAGCGUCAGUCAAUCCUAGCUUCGCCACUCCUCAUAUGGAUGCAUCUCUACGUGAUAUAGAUGGUUAGGGAGACACAGGAGGUUAAGGCGAAGAUGAUAGAGGGUAGUCCUGGCCAUCUUAGGCCCGGCCCUGUCGGCCCAUCCAGGCCCGACCCUAAAAUCCAGGGCCUAGGCCUGAUGGGCUUGCUCAUGGGCCGGGCUUGGGCCUAAGUUUUGAGCCCACCAGCAGGGCCUGGACGGGCUUGGGCUUGACAUAUUGACAUUUUAAGAAAGAGGCUCGUCCCACGGCCCUAAGCCCUAAGGGCUUUUGAGGGCUUUUUACCAGAUGGGCCGGGCUUGGGCUUGAAACGUAGGCGCGAUGGUAGGGUCUGGGAGGGCCCGGGCCUCAGUUUUCUGCCGUGGGCUUUUUCAGGCCCGACCCAAGCCCGGUCUGGCCCGGCCCAUGGCCAGAUAUAAUAGAGGGUAAGGAAGGCGCUGGGAACCUUCUACGGCGACAAAAUCGACCGACGAGAGCUCCCGCGGUGGCUGAACUUCGGCGAGAUCGAAAUGAGGCAAAACAGGCAAGGAGAUCUCAACUUGGCGAAAAAUCGGACAAAUAGGAGCAAGUGGGUAUUUAUAUGGGGUCAUGUGUGUACUAGGGGCAACAGAUUGGUCGAUUGGAUGAGGAUUUGGAUCGGGAAAGUGAAGAACUCAUGCGCAUGCAGGAGUUCGUCUCCUGGAGGAAGAUGACCCGACAAGACCUGGCGUCAGUGCAAGCGAGGAGGAAAAAGGCAGAAGAAGGAGAUGCCAGCGGGGUGUGGGCUGCUCGCUGAGCAGAAAUGGGCCUCUGGCCUGCUAGCUGCUGCUAUUGAGUAAUGCACGUGGGCGAGGAAAAAGGAGUUGGGUUCCAUAGUGCCAGAUUUAUUUUAAACAACUUUUGCUAUAGGAAGUAAAAUAUAACUAAAUAAAAUAGAAAAUUAAAGCCUAAAAAAAGUACUAGAAUACACAUGAAAACAUUAUUACUACUAUAUAAAAUAGUGAACAUUUUUACAACACAAACGAAAUUUUGGAACAUUAUCUUAUGCAAUAGGUGCCAUAAAGAGUAUUAUAAUAGCAACUACAAAAUAAUUUUGAGUUUCUAAAAUUCCCAAAGUACUGUGAAAUACAAACAAUAUUAUUAGCACUACGAGCAUUUAUAACAAGGGCGAAGUCAUGCUAUCUCCAUCCCAAUAAUUUGCCUCAAGUUGCAACAACGAUUUAAAUAUUCAGAAAAUUCAAAUAUGCAUAUAAAUUAUGAUGAAAAAUAAUGAUCCUAUUAACAUACCAAAUCUGAAAAUUUGGGAUGUUACAAAUCUACCACCCUUAAGAUGAAUCUCACCCUCGAGAUUCAAAGAGGUUAGAAAGAAAAGGUUAGGUUUGGGAUUCUACUUGAAUUUUGCAUUGAUCAUUCGAGAGGCUCGCGUGCUACCACCAUUAGAAUCAGAGUCAUGGGUCUUCGGAAAUCUUACUCCUUCGAUGAGAUCCUUCAAGUAUGAGUACCACACUCGUUUUAGAUUUUGAAUCCUUUAUCAAAAGUGUGGCCUACCAAUUAUUGAACCUCUAUGAUUGACAGGUCAUGCACCAUUCCUAAACAAAAUCGGUUCUCUGAUGGUGGCCAACAAGAAUACUUGUAUGUGGUUCCUGUAGAAAACGGUUCUUGGUUCAUCCUCACCGUAUGACCUACUAUGGGCAACGGGUGCCCUUUUACAAGGGUAAACUUAAUUCCAUUCUAAGGUUCAGGAUUAACAAUCUCGCCCCUCUACUACAGGUAAGUCACUCUAGAUUAACCAUCCCACAUAGAAAGAGUGAAUAAUAACAGUAAGUCGGCAUGGUGAUCAAUCCAUUUCGCACCCAAAUCAUUACCUUGUAUAUGGUUUAGAAAAUCUCACAUUCUAACACUCAGGCAUCCUCACAAGCAUUGCAAAAAUUUCUCUUGUUCACGAACUGGGUUCUGAUAAUUCCAUUGGUUCUGCAUGCCAGACAAAACAUCUAUUGUUCCUAUCAACUCUCAGGUUUGCGUCAACUACUAUAAAACAUCUACUAAUGAAUUAUAGCUUCCUCCAGGGUUCUUUCUUCAGCAAGAUUGUGAUUGCUUCUUGUCGGAUACUGGGCAUGUGGUUAAACUUGAACUCAUCACUGGGUUGCAACAUGUAAGAACUAAGGGAAAAACACUACCCAUAUGCUAGCAACAAACCCCAAAUCAAACAAAUCACACAAGUUGCACCACACAAGCAAAACCUAUGGGUAAGGUCAUAUCCACAAGAGAUAUGAUCUCGUUAGACUACCGCCAAUCGUUUACCUGACUCAACUUAGUAGUGGUGGUCUGCCAACUAAAACUCUUCAAAUGAGACUACUAUAACUACAGGGGUCAUCUAUACUUGAAAAGAAAAGAUAUGAGUACAAGGUAUGAACUAUCAAGUACAACAAGGCUGUAAAGUAAGUUUUCAGUCCUAUGGCUUUUCCUAUUCCAUUUUCUAGGGUAAUGACCUACAGUCACCACACUGCUCUGAUACCAUCUGUAACAACCUGAACCAGAUAAGAUUUGAUGUCUCUGUGCUUACUGUGCUAGUCCCUGGAUCAAUUCGCUAGCACACACAAUACAUAUGAAUAUCAAAACAACAAGUCCAUCAGUUACUUCGACGUAUGAUCCAGAAUUUGUAGUGUUAAAAAUUGUGUAGCACAUAACUAGCCUUAUUUAGUAAUAAUAGCAGAAAUGUAGCAUAAGUAAAAGAUGAGUCCCAUUAAUGCCCACUGGCGAAAAGCUGAGUGAAGACUCGCGAUCCUACUGUAUCUCAUUGAUCAUCUGAAAAUCCUGUAACAUGAUAAGUUGCAGCCACAAGGGUCAAUACAUUGAAUGUACUGACAAAUCACACACAAUGAUAUAGCAAACCUACAUCCACAAGCAAGGUAUGACAAACAGAACACUCAAGUUGGUUUGUAGAAGAAUGUCUUCACCUACCUCCACUAACUGGAAUUACAACCCCUCUAAUUUAUUCGCCCAUGAUAAUACCAAAGAUCCUAAGUUAACAUGACAAGAACUUCAGUAGUCUCUCAAGUGCGCUCUGUCAAUGACUCAUUCUCUAGGAACCAUAGAGCACUCAUCCAAGGAUGCAUUCACCCGAUUUAAGUUCCGAAAACUACACCUCGCCUCAAGUGUGCUCUGUUAGUGGCGCGUUCUCUAGGGACAAUAGAGUGCUCUGCCAGUGACGCAUUCACCACGUAAAAAUUCUCGAGCCUAAAACUAUAAACGCUCACCACUUUCAUGAAUCACUCGACUCAUACCCGCUCUACCAUAGCAAGCUAAUCACACCAUCACAUACUACAAACAGUCCAUGAAUAUGACAACACAGAAUAUAACGAUCAACCAAACAUAUAUCAUCACACAACAACUACACA
Triticum aestivum (bread wheat) is the source of this 9824-nucleotide long non-coding RNA. RefSeq lists it as uncharacterized. The transcript has 10 exons. NCBI's taxonomy places the organism in Eukaryota, Viridiplantae, Streptophyta, Magnoliopsida, Poales, Poaceae. The record is from RefSeq and is a predicted model, not a curated record.